GAUCAUGGCUCAGGAUGAACGCUGGCGGCGUGCCUAACACAUGCAAGUCGAACGAAGCACUUUCGAUCGGAGAUUCGUCAAGAUGGAUUGACUAGUGGCGGACGGGUGAGUAAUGUAUGAGCAACCUGCCUUUCAGAGGGGGACAACAGUUGGAAACGACUGCUAAUACCGCAUAAUGUAUUUUGAGGGCAUCCUCGGGAUACCAAAGGAGCAAUCCGCUGAAAGAGUGGGCUCAUAUCUGAUUAGUUAGUUGGCAGGGUAACGGCCCACCAAGUCGACGAUCGGUAGCCGACCUGAGGAGGGUGAUCGGCCACAGUUGGGACUGAGACACCGGACCCAACCUCCGUACGGGAGGCAGCAGGUGGGGAAUAGUUGGGCAAGUACGGGGGAAACCCUGACCCAGCAACGCCGCGUGAGGGAAGUAAGGUUUCGGAUCGUAAACCUCUGUCCUUGGUGAAGAGUAAGAGACGGUAGCCAAGGAGGAAGCCCCGGCUAACUACGUGCCAGCCGCUGC
RNAcentral lists this ribosomal RNA (514 nucleotides) under uncultured bacterium. RNAcentral describes it as "bacterial SSU rRNA". It matches the Rfam family "Bacterial small subunit ribosomal RNA", at positions 15 to 518 of the family's 1533-position model. The record is from RNAcentral.